This 98-nucleotide microRNA precursor is filed under the name Ornithorhynchus anatinus (platypus). Its description in RNAcentral is "microRNA oan-mir-15a precursor". Its record names the gene oan-mir-15a. The stretch from base 8 to 87 matches the Rfam family "mir-15 microRNA precursor family". Rfam says of the family: This family represents the related mir-15a and mir-15b sequences. In humans miR-15a and miR-16 are clustered within 0.5 kb at 13q14. The record is from miRBase by way of RNAcentral. Lineage: Eukaryota; Metazoa; Chordata; Mammalia; Monotremata; Ornithorhynchidae.
GAAGACACCUUGGGGUAAAGUAGCAGCACAUAAUGGUUUGUGAGUUUUGAAAUACAGGCCAUAUUGUGCUGCCUCAAAAAUACAAGGAUCUGAUCUUC